AUAUUGGUGUUUCUCAACACCAAAUAACUAAUUUAAAAAAUGCAAAU
This is a non-coding RNA of Octopus bimaculoides (California two-spot octopus), 47 nucleotides long. Lineage: Eukaryota; Metazoa; Mollusca; Cephalopoda; Octopoda; Octopodidae. The record is from Rfam.